This 468-nucleotide ribosomal RNA is filed under the name uncultured bacterium. Its description in RNAcentral is "bacterial SSU rRNA". It matches the Rfam family "Bacterial small subunit ribosomal RNA", at positions 110 to 573 of the family's 1533-position model. The record is from RNAcentral.
GUAACACGUGGGCAAUCUGCCGCGAAGUCUGGGAUAACUCGCUGAAAGGCGAGCUAAUACCGGAUGUGAAUGUAAAUUCAAAGUUGGGGACCGCAAGGCCUGACGCUUUACGAUGAGCCCGCGGCCUAUCAGCUAGUUGGUGAGGUAACGGCUCACCAAGGCUAAGACGGGUAGCUGGUCUGAGAGGACGACCAGCCACACUGGAACUGAGACACGGUCCAGACACCAUACGGGUGGCAGCAGUCGAGAAUUUUUCUCAAUGGGCGAAAGCCUGAAGGAGCGACGCCGCGUGGGGGAUGAAUGGCUUCGGCCCGUAAACCCCUGUCAUUUGCGAACAAAUUAUUUUACCUAACACGUAAAGUAUUGAUUGUAGCGGAAGAGGAAGGGACGGCUAACUCUGUGCCAGCAGCCGCGGUAAUACAGAGGUCCCAAGCGUUGUUCGGAUUCACUGGGCGUAAAGGGUGCGUA